AAUCUUGACUUUACACUAACUCUAGUGUUCUUUACAUCACUUUACGUUGCAAACUCAUGCAAUCACAUUCUUUACAUUUCCUUUACUCUUGCUAACUCUAGCAUUCUUGUCCAUACAUUUCUUAUUCUUAUUGCUCCACUUUACUUUAACAUUACACACUGUCAUUUUCUUUAUUCUUUACAUCACAUUAGUUCUUUGCAUCACACUAACUUUAGUGUCUCUUUACUUUACAUUUUCGAAUGCCACUCGAUCUAU
Molecule: long non-coding RNA, 255 nt
Filed under: Ananas comosus (pineapple)
Lineage: Eukaryota; Viridiplantae; Streptophyta; Magnoliopsida; Poales; Bromeliaceae
Description: long non-coding RNA (ACOM_LNC037821)
Source: RNAcentral